AGGGAUUUAGCUUAGUGGCAUAAGUGCCUGCCUGGCAAGCACGAGGUUGUGAAUUCGAUCCACAGUACCCU
Molecule: transfer RNA, 71 nt
Filed under: Cavia porcellus (domestic guinea pig)
Lineage: Eukaryota; Metazoa; Chordata; Mammalia; Rodentia; Caviidae
Rfam family: tRNA
About the family: Transfer RNA (tRNA) molecules are approximately 80 nucleotides in length. Their secondary structure includes four short double-helical elements and three loops (D, anti-codon, and T loops). Further hydrogen bonds mediate the characteristic L-shaped molecular structure. tRNAs have two regions of fundamental functional importance: the anti-codon, which is responsible for specific mRNA codon recognition, and the 3' end, to which the tRNAs corresponding amino acid is attached (by aminoacyl-tRNA synthetases). tRNAs cope with the degeneracy of the genetic code in two manners: having more than one tRNA (with a specific anti-codon) for a particular amino acid; and 'wobble' base-pairing, i.e. permitting non-standard base-pairing at the 3rd anti-codon position.
Source: Rfam by way of RNAcentral